Molecule: non-coding RNA, 124 nt
Organism: Hordeum vulgare subsp. vulgare (domesticated barley)
Lineage: Eukaryota; Viridiplantae; Streptophyta; Magnoliopsida; Poales; Poaceae
Source: Rfam
UUAAUACUCCCUCCGUCCGGAAAUACUUGUCUUAGAAAUGAAUAAAAUGGAUGUAUCUAUAAGCAAAAUAAGUCUAGAUACAUCCAUUUCUAAGACAAGUAUUUCCGAACGAAGGGAGUAUAAA